GACGAACGCUGGCGGCGUGCUUAACACAUGCAAGUCGAACGGAAAGGCCCUGCUUUUGUGGGGUGCUCGAGUGGCGAACGGGUGAGUAACACGUGAGUAACCUGCCCUUGACUUUGGGAUAACUUCAGGAAACUGGGGCUAAUAUCGGAUAGGAGCUCCUGCUCCAUGGGGGGGGAUGGAAAGUUUCGGCGGUUGGGGAUGGACUCGCGGGUUAUCAGCUUGUUGGUGGGGUAGUGGCUUACCAAGGCUUUGACGGGUAGCCGGCCUGAGAGGGUGACCGGCCACAUUGGGACUGAGAUACGGCCCAGACUCCUACGGGAGGCAGCAGUGGGGAAUAUUGCACAAUGGGCGGAAGCCUGAUGCAGCAACGCCGCGUGCGGGAUGACGGCUUUCGGGUUGUAAACCGCUUUCGCCUGUGACGAAGCGUGAGUGACGGUAAUGAGUAAAGAAGCACCGGCUAACUACGUG
This 468-nucleotide ribosomal RNA is filed under the name uncultured bacterium. RNAcentral's name for it is "partial 16S ribosomal RNA". It matches the Rfam family "Bacterial small subunit ribosomal RNA", at positions 28 to 507 of the family's 1533-position model. The record is from RNAcentral.